This is a small nuclear RNA of Jaculus jaculus (lesser Egyptian jerboa), 191 nucleotides long. Its record names the gene U2. It matches the Rfam family "U2 spliceosomal RNA". Rfam says of the family: U2 is a small nuclear RNA (snRNA) component of the spliceosome (involved in pre-mRNA splicing). Complementary binding between U2 snRNA (in an area lying towards the 5' end but 3' to hairpin I) and the branchpoint sequence (BPS) of the intron results the bulging out of an unpaired adenosine, on the BPS, which initiates a nucleophilic attack at the intronic 5' splice site, thus starting the first of two transesterification reactions that mediate splicing. The record is from Ensembl. Lineage: Eukaryota; Metazoa; Chordata; Mammalia; Rodentia; Dipodidae.
AUCACUUCUCGGCCUUUUGGCUAAGAUCAAGUGUAGUAUCUGUCCUUAUCAGUUUAAUAUCUGAUAUGUCCUCUAUCCAAGGACAAUAUAUUAAAUGGAUUUUUGUAGCUCGGAGUUGGAAUAGGAGCUUGUUCCGUCCACUUCACGCAUCGACCUAGUAUUGCAGUAUUUCCAGGAAUGGUGCACCCCCU